AGCAAAACCAUUCGCUCAUAGCAGGAAAAAACUCAACCAAGAGAGAGGAAAGUCCCUUCACGACCUCAAGUCCUAGAGAAAAUAUCCUAGCUGAAAACUCUCCAACUUCCUCCUAUCCUCCAAAUGAGGCCUGAUUUAGCCUACUCACCUUCCUCAUCUCCUCCAACACCACCAUCUCCUCUACCCAUCAGUGUCGGACCAGGCAAUCUCAAGUAUCCAUUCUCUCCUUCACCAUCGCCAUCGCCAUUCUCAACACCUGAUCAGUCAUCACCGGAGACCUCGCCUCUCUUGCACAGGCAAUCAGCGGAGCAGCACAACGGACCUUCCACUUUCUCCGUGGACAAACUUGUGGAAGAAUCUCCUCAAAGAAGAUGGUGGCAUCUUAGAAAUUUUUUGGGAUGGCUGAUGCUAAAGUGUUGCUGCUGCUGCUCCUCCUCAUUUUUAUAGGCAGUAAGAUUGUCGAUUCCAGAAAUGAAGCAAAUGAAAUCUACAAAAGUUUUGACCACAAGCUAACCAGCAACUACUUGGAAAGACAGAAAUCUAUUGUUUCAGAAAUAAAACAAACGGGAAGUUCAUGUUUGAGCUUGUUAUUUUGGAUGCUAAUGCCACCAGAAUUUUUUUAUCCCCCCAAGUUAAGAUGAAUUUUGUUACAUUACAGAAAUUAACAUAACAAACUCUGUUUCUAAGUUAAACUAAAAUGUCAUUUAUACCCGAGUUA
Long non-coding RNA from Phoenix dactylifera (date palm), 718 nucleotides. RefSeq lists it as uncharacterized. NCBI's taxonomy places the organism in Eukaryota, Viridiplantae, Streptophyta, Magnoliopsida, Arecales, Arecaceae. The record is from RefSeq and is a predicted model, not a curated record.